Molecule: ribosomal RNA, 484 nt
Filed under: uncultured bacterium
Lineage: Bacteria
Description: partial 16S ribosomal RNA
Rfam family: Bacterial small subunit ribosomal RNA
Source: RNAcentral
AUUGAACGCUGGCGGCAUGCUUUACACAUGCAAGUCGAACGGCAGCGCGGGCUUCGGCCUGGCGGCGAGUGGCGAACGGGUGAGUAAUACAUCGGAACGUGCCCAGUAGUGGGGGAUAGCUCGGCGAAAGCCGGAUUAAUACCGCAUACGACCUGAGGGUGAAAGCGGGGGAUCUUCGGACCUCGCGCUAUUGGAGCGGCCGAUGGCAGAUUAGCUAGUUGGUGGGGUAAAGGCCUACCAAGGCGACGAUCUGUAGCUGGUCUGAGAGGACGACCAGCCACACUGGGACUGAGACACGGCCCAGACUCCUACGGGAGGCAGCGGUGGGGAAUUUUGGACAAUGGGCGAAAGCCUGAUCCAGCAAUGCCGCGUGUGUGAUGAAGGCCUUCGGGUUGUAAAGCACUUUUGGCGGGAACGAAAAGGACUGUGCCAAUACCACGGUUCGAUGACGGUACCCGCAGAAUAAGCACCGGCUAACUACGUG